Molecule: ribosomal RNA, 253 nt
Filed under: uncultured bacterium
Lineage: Bacteria
Description: partial 16S ribosomal RNA
Rfam family: Bacterial small subunit ribosomal RNA
Source: RNAcentral
UACGAAGGGGGCUAGCGUUGCUCGGAAUUACUGGGCGUAAAGCGCACGUAGGCGGCUUUCUAAGUCAGGGGUGAAAUCCUGGAGCUCAACUCCAGAACUGCCUUUGAUACUGGAGAGCUUGAGUCCGGAAGAGGUGAGUGGAACUCCGAGUGUAGAGGUGAAAUUCGUAGAUAUUCGGAAGAACACCAGUGGCGAAGGCGGCUCACUGGUCCGGUACUGACGCUGAGGUGCGAAAGCGUGGGGAGCAAACAGG